UUUUUUUUUUUUUUGAGAAUUACAAGAGGGUAUCUAAUACUAUAAUCUAAUAAGCAACCCGCACAUAGGCAGAACUACACCACACAAUGGUGGGAAAACAACAUCUAAUAAGCAACCGGCACAUAGGCGGGACCUCUACACCACACAAAAGUGGAAAAACAACCGCACCUCUCACAAAAGAGAGUAUUUGAAUGCCUCAACUUUGUCAUUUGAGCUAGACCUCAUCGGCUCAUUAAAUCUAGUUAUUAUUAACAUUAGUCACAGUUCAUUUUAUACUAUUACAAAGAAUUGAUCAUAAAAAAAAAUUAAUUAUCUAAUUUAUAAGAGAAAACUAUAAACUCAUAUUUCAUUCUGCUUUUCAUUUUAUGCACAUUGUAGUCAUAAAAAAUGUCAUUCCAUUUGUACCUACUUCCAUUCUUUUGUAUCAAUUAUCUCCUAAAAUCUAGCAUCAAGCAAAAAAUAUUACUCCUACUUCUUUAUUAUAUUUCAGAUUCAUAUGUUAUAAGUUUAUCUCGUCACACCAAUAAUUAUAGUUAAAUUCACACUUCUUUUAAAUACAUAAGAUAUAUUAAAUCAAAACAUGAAUGCCACAAAAAUAAAUUAGUCCAAAAUUAUUCAUUAAAAAUGUCGCGAGGAAUAUCGUAAACGAGUCUAACAUUACUAGAACUAAUGCAUGGAGGAGCUAAUAAUCCGAGGAACUUGUGAAAGCUAUUAAUGCGCAUUUCGCAUUCUCUUCUCCCAUUUUCCCGUUUCCGUUUUCCUUUUCCUUCCCACGCUGCCAUAAUUCCUCACAGCUUCACUUUUUUUUUCUUUUUUUUUUCUUUUUUCCCCCAAAAGGGAAUACCACUUUUCUCCGUUUAAGACCAUCUAUAAUCCUGUAAGUGUGAUGGAAGUUCUUAAUUUUUCAUAAUUAUCGAUUACUUUUUCUCUCCUCUCCAUUUACUGAUUUGGGUUUUGCUCUUGAAUGAUAUAUUUCUGGUAGAAGCUUGCUUAAUUAGAUAUGCAUGCAGAAUGCGGGGCAUAUGUUGAAUUUGUUGUAAACCGGUGAUUCAAGCCCUUUUAAUGUAUGCUGUUUCUAUAUAGGCAGAGUAAAUUGUAGAGGUAAAAGCUUUCUUGGACAUUAAUCAUGUUACAUAUUUGUAGUUUAAUCAUCAACUUCCAAUGAAACGCCUUAAUGAUGUUAUGGCUGAAUCAUUUUUACACAUUUGCUUUCUCAUUUAUGCAUCUUGUUCAGAUAUUGAUACCAAUCUAUAUGUGGCAAUGCAGUUUCUGGGGAGAAAUGGUUGGCCAUUUGCUUUUGUGUAUCUUACUGUUUCUAACCAUAGAAGUUAAAGAUGGCGCUAAGCUACCACUUGUUGAAAAGAAAUUCAUGACUCUGAGUGGUAGGAUCAUAUGGUGCAAGCUCACAAAAUUCUCACAGUUUCUCUUCUUUUAGUAGUUUUCUGUUUUUUUUGGGGAAAAAAAGCAAUGCGUGGUUGAAAUGAGCUCGUCUUCCCACGUGCAGGUGGUCAGCCGGAGGUUGUAGCGCUAGGUGGAUACUCGGGAUUCUUCCCUAGUUCAAGCCUGAAUGCUUAUGACUUUGCUCUUGAGAUUAGCAUCCCUGGAACAAUCCAGUAUUGCAACGUGCAUUUUUCAAAGGACAACAUUGGCUUCUGUGUUGCACAAAUAAAUCUUAUGAAUACUACAAGUAUUGAGGAAUUUGAUCCUAAAGGAAUGAAGGAAUACAAAAUAUAUGAACAAGAAGUCCAUGGAUAUUUUGGUCUGGACUACCCUGCCAAAGUGCUAUUUGAUAAUGUGACGGGUAAGUCGAGCAGGAAACUUGGUAGUUUGUGUAGUGUGUGAAAAGACAUUAGUAUUGUUAUAUGUUCUUACCGUGGCUAGCUGUGCUGUUUCAGCUUGUUUGUUGUGCUACUUAGUUGGAUGUUGUGUUCUUUUCCCACAGUUCGCCAAAACAUUUUCACCAGGUCGGGAGUGUAUGACGGUUCUCCAUUGGUCGUACCGUCUCAACUGUUUGAAGACAGGAAAAAGAUACCAGCAAGAGUUUGGUUGAACUUUGAGGUCCCUCUCUUGGAUAAACUACUUGUAGUCCAAUAAUUUAUCAAGUUUCAGCAGAGAAGGAGAUAUUAAGUAUUGAUGAGAGUUAUGGUUUUUUUGUUACUGACUAAAAUGUUGUUUGCAGAAUGACAUGUUCUAUAAGGAGCACAAGAUCAGUGCUGAAACAUUUCUCCUAGAUAUUUUGAAAACAGUGCCGGAGUUCCUCUCAUCACCGGAGAUAGGUUUCUUGAAGUCUAUGGGAUCGAAGGUGGACAAGUCUAAGACGAAAUUCAUCUUCACAUUCCUCGAACCAGAUGAAGUCGAGCCAACUACCCAAAAAUCAUAUGGUUCCCUGAUUAAAGAUCUGGGCGCGAUCAAAUCAUUUGCAUCUGGGAUUGUUGUACCAAAAGAAUAUAUCUGGCCUGUUGAUAAGGCCAAGAGGUUGCAGCCAGCGACAAGCCUCGUGCAAGAUGCUCACAAAGCAGGGCUUUCCGUGUAUGCUUCUAGCUUCGCGAAUGAUAGAUUAUGGAGCUACAAUUUUAGCUAUGAUCCUGUGCUAGAGUACAUACAGUUUACUGAGAAUCCCGAAUUUUCUGUUGAUGGGGUCUUGUCUGAGUUUCCUUCAACUGCUUCAGAAGCAAUUGGUGAGACUGUUUCUGCAUUUGCAGUUGUUGUUUUAGCUGUCUCACAUAAUCUUCCUUUUUCUCAUCACAGCAUGCAUAAAUCUGGACAAGAAGGCUCCCAGGGCUGUACCUAGUAAGAUGAAAUAUAGCUCGGAUUCUUUCCUUUGAUGAAGAAACAUAGUAUAUUAGUAUGAUAUGUAUUCCUUUGUACCACAGAUUUGAUCAUAUCCCACAAUGGUGCUAGUGGAGAUUUCCCCGGCUCGACUGAUUUGGCCUAUGAUAAAGCCAUAGCGGAUGGCGCUGAUCUGAUUGAUUGCUCAGUUCAAAUGUCUAAAGAUGGAAUUGCCUUCUGCUCCGACAGAGCUGACCUUAUGAAAACAACUACUGCAGCAGCUCUUUUCAUUGAUAGGUCUAAAAACAUCAAAGAGAUUCAAUCAGCUGAUGGUGUUUUCUCCUUUGACCUAACGUGGGACGAAAUUCAAACUCUUAAGCGUGAGCCUCUCAUUCAUUCUGCUCUGCUCUCUAGUUACAUAUUCACAUUGAGACUUUCCAUUUUCAGCAAAAAUCGAGAGUUUCUUCCCGGACCAGCCUAGAAAUCCGGCAUUCAAGAACAGCGGCAAGCUUCUGACCCUUCCUGCGUUCUUGGAGCUUGCCAAGACAAUGGCAGUACACGGCAUAUUCAUAUCAAUAAGGGUGAUUUUUUUAGCCUUAACUAACUUCCCUUGCUUGUGUAUCGACGUUUUCUCACACAUUUAACUUGUUCCCUCAGAAUGCUGCAUACCUUGCUGCAAAGAGGGGUCUUGACAUAGUAGGUACAGUCUCCACAGAGCUCAGCCAUUCCAAGUUUGAUAAGCAGACACUCCAGAAGGUUCUAAUCGAAUCAGAUGACACCUCGGUGUUGGAUCAGUUCAAAAGCGUCCCAACUUAUGAGAGAGUGUUGUACCUCAAGGACGCGAUAGGUAGUGUACCGGAUCAAGCAGUGAAGGAGGUGAAGAAGCACGCGGCUUCAGUUCACUUGCGCAGAAGUUCCCUCAUGGUUGCUGAAAACAGCUUCAUCGUCAACUUCACCGAGACCAUCCCAGCCUUCCAUGCUGCUAACGUCUCAGUAUAUGUUGGGAUUCUGAGGAAUGAGUACCAGAACUUGGCCCUCGACUAUCUGGCUGAUCCAUAUGUGGAGCUCGCCACCUUGACCGCCCUACAAGUUGAUGGCUUUGUAACAGAUUAUCCCUACACUGGAGCCCUGUUUGUCAGUGAGUAACUUGUUCUUCACCUCCCUUUUUAACUAGUGGAAACAACCAAGAAAUGAUAUUUUUGUGGUGACCAUGUCAGGAUCAUCUUGCUUAAAUGAAGAAUCUCCUUAUGUUACAAUGCCGGCACAGCCAGGUAUGAUGUUCUCGCAAGACGCAGUAGCUGAACCCCCCGAGCUCAGCCCCAAGGACGUGAUUGAUCCACCACUGCCUCCGGUGGCCAAGCCCUCGCCUCCGGCUGCCGCCUCCACCAAACAAACUUAUAAUUCUUCAACUACUACAUUAAGAGUUAGUGCUCAGAGCCUAUUUUUUGCUGCAGUGGUGGUGCUUCUUACCAUCUAUACAUAGAAUGCCAUUUUUACGCUGAGUUAUGGGAUUUUACAGAAGGGUAACACAACACUGAGAAAUAUACAUACCACAGAAUCAUAUAUAUACACACACACUACCAGAAAUCUGUGGCACAGUGAUCACUGGACUAGCCAGAUUGUUGUGAUGCUUGUUAAGAGAAAUAUUGAUGAUGGUCUUCAAACAGAAAAGAAAUGUAUUAUUCACAUUCAUGGUCUUAAACAAGAGAAAAGUUGUGUAUUUUCUUUCAAAUAUGUGUUAAAAUCUGUGAAGGUAACUUGCAUUCAUUACUAUAGCAUUGAUUAUUUGAUUAAAAUGUUUUUUUUAUUUUUUUUAUAAUUUGUUUUGCAGGUUCUAAACUAAUGUGAAGCAUAUAGUGAAAUAUGAGAUGGAGUCUCAUCCCUCACAAAUUGUACAACCGAAAAAUUAUGAUCGGCAAAAUUUAGGAAGAAAAUGUAUAUGAAUAGUAGUAUAAAUAAGUACAAAUUUGAUCUUCAAUAUUGAAGUUAUUCUUUGCUUUAUAUACGUAUUAUGUUUCGUAAUCAAGUUCACACGACUUUUCUGGAUUUCAUACCUUGCUUAAUUUCCCAUUCCGACUAUUACUUGUUUAUUUUUAAAAAAGGAAUUGAAUUAAAUUGAAAUCAGAAUGAACAUUAUCCCAUGGUCAAACUUCAUUUGAUUAAUGAGGCGAACGAGUAAUGCAUUGACAAGAUCUAAUCCAAAAUUAUAAAAUUUAUUAAGACGAGUAUUUGAAAUAUGUGUUCAGAGAUUAAUUAAUCGAUUAAUUCGAGUUCGGAAUUAUUCUCAACUUAAUAACUUAUACAUCGAUAAAAUGUAAAAUAAUACUAAACUUUUUGACAUAAUUUUUCUCAAUUGUAUGCGAGCAAAGAUUUACUAAUUUGUUUAUUUUGAGAUACACUUUUACAGUAAAGCAGGCAAUAAAGAGGGAAAAUUUUCAGUAUAAAUAGACGGAGAGAGGGGUCGCUAGAAACCCUAAAAUCUCAUUAGUUUAAGUCAGAGGCUGUUGAUUUCGCGCAGCGAGGUUGGGAUUCUUAAGGGUGGUUGCCCCUUUCUGUGCGAAUCACCAACCGAUGAAGUCGAAACUAUGUUUUUAGUUUCAAGAUGAACUUGCAAACAACCCUUAGAUGAUGCUGAUGAUGAUGAUGAUGAUGAUGCUGAUGCUUGUAAUCAUAGCUCUGGCUGUGUUGCAACAUUCCCUUUUCUCCAGACCCUAAAUCCUAAACAGAGGCUGUGAUGAUUUUUAUUCUAAAGAUCAGAUUUCGAGCGAGCCCGUAUCUUGGCGAGGCGGGAUCAGUGUAUCUGUGAGAUGGAUUCUCAUUAGGCAACUGGUUUUCGCAGCCAUGUCGGGUUUUGCCGUUGAUUUCUCUCUGAUGAUAAAAGGCGAAUCUGAGCCUCAAGAUCUGCAAUUUUUUUCUUAUUUUCUUCCCUUUUUUUUUCUGUGUUUAUAAAAUUAAUGUAAAUCUUUUUUUUUCUUUUCUCUUUUUAAACCGAUGAAAUGAAAUGAUAUCUACACACUAGAUCUGUUAAAAAAACAUGGAAAACAGAGCAAGAGAGGGGAAGGAUGAAUUUGCAUCAACUUUGAGAAAAAGCUUCAUUAUUUUGUCAAUAAAACAUAAAUUCAAAUUGACAAGAAAGGGACAAGAAGGAAAAAAGGAGGCUCAGAUGAGUAGAGAGGCAAAAGAGAAGGCGGCGACGCCAUGGCUGCAAAGAUCACCGUUUGCACGCGGAAAAAAGCGCAGCAGUCGGGAUCGUCCCGCCAAGUUGCGGGCCGGGUUUCUCUAAGACCGAUACAUCAACCCAGAAAGAAUAAAGAGAAGAAUUCAUUCAUCACAGCCUCUGUCCAACCACCACACACACACUCAGAGCGCUCGCUUGCAAACAGUGAAAGGGCUGUUUGAUUUGGAGAAAUCAUGGGGUUUGCGGAGGGGCAACCACCCUUUGAGAAUUCCGGCAACCUCGCUGUAACCCUCAUUCUUCCAUUUCUGAGCUCUUCUCCAACUCCAAUAGCUCUUGAUAUUCUUACAUAUUGUCAUUAGCCCAAGUCUCGUAAGGGUACAAUUGUCAUUUCAAUACUUCCCCGAGAGUCGAGCCCAUGUUUGGUUACUGUAACUACAAUGUAAAAUGACGAAACCAACCUCAGCGCCUCCGCCGGUGGGCGUUUGCCCCUUUCUCUCUCUACAUCACCAGAAUCAGACACCCCUUUUUCUCAGUAGUAAUUAAUUGCAACUAUGAGGCUGUGAUGAUCCACUAAUCCUUGUGUGACAAGGAAAAGAUCAGAUCUUGAGCAAGCUUCUGAUGAGCUCGCUCACUGUAAUUUUACCUUUUGCCUCAUCUAAAUCAAGCAACCGAUUUCUGCAGCCAUCUUCUAUCUGGUGAUUACUUGUUAAAUCUGAGCUUCGUAUAGUUUCACUAUUUUAAUUCUUAACAUUUCGAUUUAUAACAAAUACAAACACAUUGAGGAAUUCACCAAAAAAACGAGAGAGAAAGAGAGAGGCUCAGAUCUGUUGAGAUGCAAGCGGGCGAAAGUGACAGCGGCGACCGCCAUGGCUGCGACCAGCUGGUUGCAUCCGGAAAAAACCGCAUGCCAUCCGGGUCGCCCUGCCAAGAUGCGGGCCUGGUUUUCUCUAACCCCGUUUCAUCAGCUCAGAAGGAAUCAAGAAAUAAAUCAUCACAGCCUCGGAAAACAAACACACACACACAUACACAUAGUGUUUGGGAACGAAGGGAGUAUCAUUUCCUGUUUCCAGUUAAAUUGAAGGGCUGUUUGAUUAGGUGAGAGAAAUCACGGGGUUUGCAGAGAGGGGUAACCACCCUUUUGGAAUUCCAGUAUCCUCUCUGUAUCCCUCAUUCUUCCUUACCCGAGCGCAUCUCAUCUGCAUUCUCUGUUUCUCAUUCUCACAAUAUAAUUUGUUUGCUCAGCCUCCUUAUUUGCAAAAGUGAACCCUCAUUCAACCGAUAUUGCGACUUGCCCCCUAGAUGUAGGUCUAUCUCUGUAUGUGCUCCUGACUGUAGUUCCUCCAUCCAUGAAAUAGAAUCCUGUUUCAAGGUGGACAUAAAUUUUAAUAAAAUUGUUAAAAUUAUUAUAAAUAGAAUAAAAUAUAAUUAGUGAGGAUAAUGUUAAUACGGAAAAAUAGAAUAAAAAUACAUUAUUAGUUAAAGAGUGGAAUAAAAAUAUAAUUUAUAAUUAAAUAUAAGAGAAAAUAUAUAAUAUGAUGGUUGGAAAAGUUAAAUAAUUUUUCUUAAGACUCUUUUUCGUGGACAGAGGGAAUAUUUUUUUUAGGCAAAUGUCAUCUUUUAUUAAUUUCAUCUUAUCAUGUCCUUAGGCAAACUCUUAUACUCCCUUUGUCGUGACUCAAAACUUUUCGAUACGAAAAUUAAGAAGAAUGUGUAAAUUGGUUAAAAGUGAUAGAACUUACACUUUUUUAAUGGUUAAAUUUUUCUAUUCAAAUAAGUCACUUGUAAUGGGACGAAGAGAGUACUUUUCCAUCUACAAAAAAAUGUUCCACUUAUUCAUUUUUUUCACCAAAAAUAAUCACAUCUUACUUUUUAAUCUAUCAAAUCUAAUAUUCUUUCCUAUAUUAUUUAAUACUCCAUCCAUCCUAAACGAAAUGUCAUGUUUUCCUUUUUGGGCUGUCCCAAACGAAAUGUCAUAUUUCCUUUUUUGGCAAUACACUCUCUCUCUAUACUUAAUAUUUAAAUAAUUUUCAUCAACCAACUUUAUCUACUUUAUACACAUUUCUUAAUCACCGUGUCGAAAAGAAAUAGGACAUUUCGUUUGAAACGGGGGAGUAAUAUAUCUUUAUUAUUUUUAUUUAAUAAUAUAUAUUUAUUUUAUUUUUUAAUACUAACAUAAUUUCUACAAAUUAUAUUUUUAUUUUAUUUACAACAAUUUUAUUUAAACUCGUUUCAUGUUUAAAGAAAAAUAGUCACAUUUCCCUUUUUAAUCUAUCAAAUCUAAUAUUCUCUUAUAUUUAUUACUCCCUCAGUCCCAUAUAUCAAAUAAUUAAAGAUUAAUUAACUAAUGGAUUCAUCGUCUACCGUCUAUUUAUUUCUAUUUUUACAAAUUUUAAUUUAUUUUUCUCUCCACCAACUCAUUUUAUCUAUGCCUUUUGAGAGAGAACUCAUUUUAUCUAUUAAUUAUAUACUCCCUCCGUCCCGGCUUUUGGUAUCCAGUUGAGAACAGCAUGGGUUUUAAUAAAGUGAUUGAUGUGUUGUGAGUGGAAUAAGGGUCCCACAUUUUAUGUGAGAGUUAAAAUAGUUAAAGUGGAGGAAGAGCCCCACUUACUUUUACCAAAUAUAGAAAUGGAUACUAAAAUAUAGGACGGUCAAAAAAGAAAAAUUGGAUACUAAAAAUUGGGACGGAGGGAGUAUUUCUUAAUUUUCGUGCUCAUAAGUAAUGAGAUAUUUACAAUGAAAUAAAUGAAAUAGAGGAGUAUAAGAGCAUCCACAAUGCUUGCACCCAUAGUGGGUGCAAUACCAUGGGUCCCACUUCUAUUGCACCCACUCCCACAAUGGUAUUGCACUCACUAUGGGUGCAAUAGAUUUUAUUUUAUUUUUGAAUUAGUUUUAUUCUAGUUUCCAUUUUACAAUAAUUAAGAAAUUAAAAUUUCAUUGAAUUAAAAUUCAAAUCCUACAUUGUUAGAAAUAAAAGAAAUACAAGAAAUUAAAAUCCUAAAUUACUUAAAUUAAAACAAACAUAAAAUAAAAAAUCCUAAAAAUCUACGGGAUGUUGUGUCGUUGCUUGAUCUCCGCCACCUUGCACAUGUGAAACGCCAAUUCGUCGGGAUUCAUUUGAGAGGUGUCCCGGCUCAUCAACAUGCUAUCGGCGAGGUCACGUUGAACUUGAGAGAAUGUUUCCAUUGCAUUCACCAUAUUCGCCAUGUACCCGAGAGCUUUUUGGUUAUCCUCCGACGUCUCUUCGGCCUUUUUCUUGCCUUUGCGCUUGUCUCGCUUGGCCGCCUUUUGGCCUUGGGGCCGGGUGGAGAUAGAGGCGUCACUAGAAGUCGUUGUUGGAAGACCGUCGGACCCCUUUGAUCGUUUGUCCGAAUGGACAUCGGAGUGAACAUCCCCGCCGAGACUUGAAAAUUUCUUCGACUCGCGCAAAAUCUUCCAUGCAUGCGAAUACCGGAACGGAACACGGUACUCGGCUAGCCACAUUGCCUCUGCUUGCUCCAGGAUUUGAAUAUCACUCAUGCCUGAUUUCCAUUGAUCAUGGUCAUUUUUUGUGCAUGGCCUCAAACCUCUUCGUAUCCGUUCGACACCCGUUUGAAAGUGUAGAUUUGAUUUGCGUGACGUCGCGUGAAAUAGAUCCUUCGGGCCUUUUUAGCGUUGUACUCGGCGCAGAUGGAGCCCCAAAACUUCGCCCCUUUUUGAUCGGCACCCACCACAGAGUCGUGGGUGUGCUCGCAAUACAAACGGCAAAUUAGCACCGUUUCUGCCGGAUAAUAGUUGCUACGUUUGGAUGCCGCCGGCAUAGAAGCAAUCUCCUCCACGUCGGGCUCGGGCUCGACAACGGCGGCAAAACGGGGGUUCAAAUUGGUGCCCGCCGCUUGAAAGGCAUUGGAUUCUUGCGUGAACGGCGAGAAUCCUUGCCUGGAAGCAUUUGAUUCGCCGGGGGGAUGGAUUUUGAGGAUGUUCACGCCAAUAGUUGCUCCAAUCGCCUUCCAUUGUUAUUUGUUGAAAUAAUUUAGAAGAUGAGGGGAAUGGAUGAAUGAGGAGAAUGGAUGAAUGAUAGAUGAUGAAGAAGAGAAUGAGGUUGUAUAUGUAUAUAUAGAGGGAGUAUAGAAAAUUUAAAAAAAAAAAAAAUAUCAGCAAACGGAAAAAAAAAAACGGUCGAAAAAACGGCUUAGUUUUUUAAUUUUUUUUUUUUUUUUCGGCCAAAAGGGGCGCGUGUUUUACACGCCCCCUCCAUCGCACCCGAAAUACACGAGUGCGUAGCUUCGCCUCCCUCCUUCGCCCCCUCCUUCGCACCCGGGUGCGGCAUCGCUGGUGGGUGCGAUAGGCCGGGUUCGAUCCGGCCAUCGCACCCACCAUUGUUGAUGCUCUAAAUUGUACUAUUAUUUUAUUUUUAAAUUAAUAAUACUAGUAUGUCUUUAUUUAUUUUUUAUAUGAACAUAUUUUUUAUAAAUUAUAUUUUUAUUCUAUCUGCAACAACUUUAUUAAAAUUUGUUUCCAACGUGAUGUGAAAUUUUUUUCGUAAAUAGAGAAAAGAUAUAAAUAGUGUGGUCUAAAGUUCGAACUCAAGUGUUUCCACAUUUUUUAAAAAAAAUCUCAUUAUAUGGUUAAUGAUGGUUUAAUUUUCGAGAAGAAACCUUCUCAAUUUCUAAAGCAAAAAAAAAAAAAAACUUAAAAUCGAUAAAGUGAAACUCCUCACGAAAAAUUAUUAAUUGAGAUACUUUACCUACUGCCGAAUAAGUUUCAAACUUUUUGUAUUUUGUCACUAUUAAGGGUUUUUUGAAUGAAAAAUGUUCUCACUACUGAGGGUAAAUCAAUACUAAAGUUUUACAAUUAGGACAUGUUUGAUAUGCGUUUAUAGGUAGGAUAAAUUAAAUUAAUACAGAUUAGUGUGAUGUUUGAUAUCAUGUUCUAUUAAUAUGGUCAACUCCUACUUAAUCCUACUUCUACAUACUAUUUUGUGGGAAUAACCCACAUGCUAUUUUGUGGGAAUAACCCAUACUAAUAAUCCGGCCUCCCCCUCGGAUAACUUUAAUACUGCGAAGUUGGAUAAAAAUUCUGCUACCCUUCCUCACUCAUAUCGAUGCAAAUGCCCAAGUAAUGGUGGACACACAUAAUAUUUUUAAAAUUAUAUGAGGAUAGUUUUGGUAUUAGAUAAUAUAAUCCAACAUAAUCCUAUGGAUAUCAAACACAAUAUAGGAUUAAGUAACUAUGAUAUCAAACACUCAUGAAAUAAUAUAAAUCCACACUAAUCCACACUAAUUUCUCAAGAUAAUUUUAAUCCUAAUCAAUCCUAAAUUUCUCAAGAUAAUUUUAAUCCUAAUCAAUCCUAAACUGCAAAUCAAACGGCCCCUUAAUAACUAUGCUUCCUGAUUACCACUAAACUUUUUCCACACAUGGCUUGCUUAACGAGUUCUGCGCCCACAACUCGGCAUCAAACAAAGCUAAUGCCAGAAUUUCAAAAUAUUGAACCAAUAUCAAAUUUUGGGUAAAACCUCACCAGAUAGAAAACAACGGACGAAAUCGAACUAGGAGAAAAGACAAAAAUAAAUCAAUACAAAAUGAUAAUAAAAUUUAAGAGAAAUCAACUCAUCUAAUUUGGAGUACCCGGAAAAGGGGGAAGAGAAUAAAAUUAGCUCAUGUAAUUUGAGAGCCAAGGCCCAAUAAUAAUAAAUUAAGGAAGAAGAAGAAGAAGAAGAAGAAAGAGGCUCAGAUCUGGUGUAACAGAGCGGGCAAAGAGAGAUCCGGCCACGCCAUGGCUGCAAGUCACCGGUUGCAUGCAAUGAACAUGCCAUCCGGGUCGCCCCGCCAAGAUACGGGCUGGGCUUUCUCUAAGCCCCAUAGUCAGCUCAGAAGGAAUCGAUACAUCACAGCCCCAUUAAUCGCCAAUUAUAUCUGAUAUAGAUAGAUGCAUAGAUUGAAGAUCAACUGCUUAUAUAAUAUAAUACUCCCUCCGUUUCCCGGUUUCAAGACUGCAGUUGUUCUGAAGCAAAGGGCUGUUGAAUUUGCGAUGAAAUCACUGGGCUUACAGCGAGGGUCAACAACCCUUCAACAAACCCCAAAACUCACUGUAACCCUCAUUCCUCCUUUCUCAGCUGCUAUUGCUUCUUACCUUUUCUUAUUUCACUUUAAAUACAAAUCCGUAUUUUUUGGUGCGCUUCCCUUUCUACCCCUACUAUCAUCGCGCUUUUACGACCUUGUCCUUGUGUGUCGCCAAAAAUUUAAUUCAAUUCU
RNAcentral lists this long non-coding RNA (12178 nucleotides) under Salvia miltiorrhiza (redroot sage). RNAcentral's name for it is "long non-coding RNA (SMIL_LNC007550)". Lineage: Eukaryota; Viridiplantae; Streptophyta; Magnoliopsida; Lamiales; Lamiaceae. The record is from RNAcentral.